UUAAGGCUGAGCUGUGAUGGGGAGAAGACAUUGUGUCUUCGAGUCGUUGAUUUCACACUGCCGAGAAAAGCCUCUAGAUAGAAAAUAGGUGCCCGUACCGCAAACCGACACAGGUAGUCAAGAUGAGAAUUCUAAGGUGAGCGAGCGAACUCUCGUUAAGGAACUCGGCAAAAUGACCCCGUAACUUCGGGAGAAGGGGUGCUCUUUAGGGUUAACGCCCAGAAGAGCCGCAGUGAAUAGGCCCAAGCGACUGUUUAUCAAAAACACAGGUCUCUGCUAAACCGUAAGGUGAUGUAUAGGGGCUGACGCCUGCCCGGUGCUGGAAGGUUAAGAGGAGUGGUUAGCUUCUGCGAAGCUACGAAUCGAAGCCCCAGUAAACGGCGGCCGUAACUAUAACGGUCCUAAGGUAGCGAAAUUCCUUGUCGGGUAAGUUCCGACCCGCACGAAAGGCGUAACGAUUUGGGCACUGUCUCAACGAGAGACUCGGUGAAAUCAUAGUACCUGUGAAGAUGCAGGUUACCCGCGACAGGACGGAAAGACCCCGUGGAGCUUUACUGUAGCCUGAUAUUGAAAUUCGGCACAGCUUGUACAGGAUAGGUAGGAGCCUUUGAAACGUGAGCGCUAGCUUACGUGGAGGCGCUGGUGGGAUACUACCCUAGCUGUGUUGGCUUUCUAACCCGCACCACUUAUCGUGGUGGGAGACAGUGUCAGGCGGGCAGUUUGACUGGGGCGGUCGCCUCCUAAAAGGUAACGGAGGCGCUCAAAGGUUCCCUCAGAAUGGUUGGAAAUCAUUCAUAGAGUGUAAAGGCAUAAGGGAGCUUGACUGCGAGACCUACAAGUCGAGCAGGGUCGAAAGACGGACUUAGUGAUCCGGUGGUUCCGCAUGGAAGGGCCAUCGCUCAACGGAUAAAAGCUACCCCGGGGAUAACAGGCUUAUCUCCCCCAAGAGUUCACAUCGACGGGGAGGUUUGGCACCUCGAUGUCGGCUCAUCGCAUCCUGGGGCUGUAGUCGGUCCCAAGGGUUGGGCUGUUCGCCCAUUAAAGCGGUACGCGAGCUGGGUUCAGAACGUCGUGAGACAGUUCGGUCCCUAUCCGUCGUGGGCGUAGGAAAUUUGAGAGGAGCUGUCCUUAGUACGAGAGGACCGGGAUGGACAUACCUCUGGUGUACCAGUUGUCGUGCCAACGGCAUAGCUGGGUAGCUAUGUGUGGACGGGAUAAGUGCUGAAAGCAUCUAAGCAUGAAGCCCCCCUCAAGAUGAGAUUUCCCAACUUCGGUUAUAAGAUCCCUCAAAGAUGAUGAGGUUAAUAGGUUCGAGGUGGAAGCAUGGUGACAUGUGGAGCUGACGAAUACUAAUCGAUCGAAGACUUAAUCAAAUU
This 1376-nucleotide ribosomal RNA is filed under the name Staphylococcus aureus. Its description in RNAcentral is "partial 23S ribosomal RNA". It matches the Rfam family "Bacterial large subunit ribosomal RNA", at positions 1550 to 2925 of the family's 2925-position model. The record is from RNAcentral. Lineage: Bacteria; Bacillati; Bacillota; Bacilli; Caryophanales; Staphylococcaceae.